AGUCGAGCGAACAGAUGAGAAGCUUGCUUCUCUGAUGUUAGCGGCGGACGGGUGAGUAACACGUGGGUAACCUACCUAUAAGACUGGGAUAACUCCGGGAAACCGGGGCUAAUACCGGAUAAUAUUUUGAACCGCAUGGUUCAAUAGUGAAAGACGGUUUCGGCUGUCACUUAUAGAUGGACCCGCGCCGUAUUAGCUAGUUGGUAAGGUAACGGCUUACCAAGGCGACGAUACGUAGCCGACCUGAGAGGGUGAUCGGCCACACUGGAACUGAGACACGGUCCAGACUCCUACGGGAGGCAGCAGUAGGGAAUCUUCCGCAAUGGGCGAAAGCCUGACGGAGCAACGCCGCGUGAGUGAUGAAGGUCUUCGGAUCGUAAAACUCUGUUGUUAGGGAAGAACAAAUUUGUUAGUAACUGAACAAGUCUUGACGGUACCUAACCAGAAAGCCACGGCUAACUACGUGCCAGCAGCCGCGGUAAUACGUAGGUGGCAAGCGUUAUCCGGAAUUAUUGGGCGUAAAGCGCGCGUAGGCGGUUUCUUAAGUCUGAUGUGAAAGCCCACGGCUCAACCGUGGAGGGUCAUUGGAAACUGGGAAACUUGAGUGCAGAAGAGGAGAGUGGAAUUCCAUGUGUAGCGGUGAAAUGCGCAGAGAUAUGGAGGAACACCAGUGGCGAAGGCGGCUCUCUGGUCUGUAACUGACGCUGAUGUGCGAAAGCGUGGGGAUCAAACAGGAUUAGAUACCCUGGUAGUCCACGCCGUAAACGAUGAGUGCUAAGUGUUAGGGGGGUUCCGCCCCUUAGUGCUGCAGCUAACGCAUUAAGCACUCCGCCUGGGGAGUACGACCGCAAGGUUGAAACUCAAAGGAAUUGACGGGGACCCGCACAAGCGGUGGAGCAUGUGGUUUAAUUCGAAGCAACGCGAAGAACCUUACCAAAUCUUGACAUCCUUUGACCGCUCUAGAGAUAGAGUCUUCCCCUUCGGGGGACAAAGUGACAGGUGGUGCAUGGUUGUCGUCAGCUCGUGUCGUGAGAUGUUGGGUUAAGUCCCGCAACGAGCGCAACCCUUAAGCUUAGUUGCCAUCAUUAAGUUGGGCACUCUAGGUUGACUGCCGGUGACAAACCGGAGGAAGGUGGGGAUGACGUCAAAUCAUCAUGCCCCUUAUGAUUUGGGCUACACACGUGCUACAAUGGAUAAUACAAAGGGCAGCGAAUCCGCGAGGCCAAGCAAAUCCCAUAAAAUUAUUCUCAGUUCGGAUUGUAGUCUGCAACUCGACUACAUGAAGCUGGAAUCGCUAGUAAUCGUAGAUCAGCAUGCUACGGUGAAUACGUUCCCGGGUCUUGUACACACCGCCCGUCACACCACGAGAGUUUGUAACACCCGAAGCCGGUGGAGUAACCUU
RNAcentral lists this ribosomal RNA (1402 nucleotides) under Mammaliicoccus lentus. RNAcentral describes it as "bacterial SSU rRNA". It matches the Rfam family "Bacterial small subunit ribosomal RNA". Lineage: Bacteria; Bacillati; Bacillota; Bacilli; Caryophanales; Staphylococcaceae. The record is from RNAcentral.